RNAcentral lists this ribosomal RNA (395 nucleotides) under uncultured bacterium. Its description in RNAcentral is "partial 16S ribosomal RNA". It matches the Rfam family "Bacterial small subunit ribosomal RNA", at positions 338 to 730 of the family's 1533-position model. The record is from RNAcentral.
CCUACGGGUGGCAGCAGUGAGGAAUAUUGGUCAAUGGACGGAAGCCUGAACCAGCCAAGCCGCGUGAAGGAUGACGGCCCUAUGGGUUGUAAACUGCUUUUGUAGGGGAGCAAUAGCCGUGACGCGUUGCGCUUUGAAUGUACCGUACGAAUAAGGAUCGGCUAACUCCGUGCCAGCAGCCGCGGUAAUACGGAGGAUGCGAGCGUUAUCCGGAUUUAUUGGGUUUAAAGGGUUCGUAGGCGGUAGGUUAAGUUAGGGGUUAAAUUGAGGGGCUUAACCCCGUGCCUGCCUUUGAUACUGGUUGACUUGAGUGUGGGAGAAGCAAGCGGAAUGAGUGGUGUAGCGGUGAAAUGCGUAGAUAUCACGCAGAACACCGAUUGCGAAGGCAGCUUGCU